CACCGCCUGGGGAGUACGACCGCAAGGUUAAAACUCAAAUGAAUUGACGGGGACCCGCACAAGUAGUGGAGCAUGUGGUUUAAUUCGAAGAUACGCGCAGAACCUUACCAACACUUGACAUGUUCGUCGCGACUCUAAGAGAUUAGAGUUUUCGGUUCGGCCGGACGAAACACAGGUGCUGCAUGGCUGUCGUCAGCUCGUGUCGUGAGAUGUUGGGUUAAGUCCCGCAACGAGCGCAACCCUCACUUUUAGUUGCCAUCAUUAAGUUGGGCACUCUGAAAGAACUGCCAGUGAUAAGCUGGAGGAAGGUGGGGAUGACGUCAAGUCCUCAUGGCCCUUACGUGUUGGGCUACACACGUGCUACAAUGGUAUCUACAACAGGAAGCAAAACUGCGAAGUUAAGCAAAUCCUUAAAAGAUACCUCAGUUCGGAUUGCACUCUGCAACUCGAGUGCAUGAAGCUGGAAUUACUAGUAAUCGUGGAUCAGCGUGCCACGGUGAAUGCGUUCCCGGGUCUUGUACACACCGCCCGUCACACCAUGGGAGUUGGUUCUACCUUAAGGCAAGGUUUUAAACCCUUGACCACGGUAUAGUCAGCGACUGGGGUGAAGUCGUAACAAGGUAGCCGUAGGGGAACCUGCGGCUGGAUUACCUCCUUUCUAAGGAUGAAUGAAAGUUAUAUUUCAUUCUAAAUAAUAUACAGGUAAUGUUGACCGUCCUCAUUUCUCUUCUUAAAGUAGUGUUUCUCUUGCAUGGGGGCCGGUAGCUCAGUUGGUUAGAGCACACCCUUGAUAAGGGUGGGGUCGAAAGUUCGAGUCUUUCUCGGCCCACCAAUUAAAGAUCAUGGGGGAUUAGCUCAGCUGGGAGAGCGCCUGAUUUGCAUUCAGGAGGUCAGCGGUUCGAUCCCGCUAUCCUCCACCAAACACUUAGUUAUAAAAAAUCGUAAAGAAUAAAUAAUUAAUAUCAAUAUCUAUAUCCGAACAUUAGAAAGUUAAUAUCUAGUGUUCAAAAAUAAAAAUUUGAUUCAACACAGAAUUUUUUUCUG
RNAcentral lists this small RNA (1044 nucleotides) under uncultured Pelagibacterales bacterium. RNAcentral's name for it is "bacterial SSU rRNA". The stretch from base 1 to 658 matches the Rfam family "Bacterial small subunit ribosomal RNA", at positions 867 to 1533 of the family's 1533-position model. Lineage: Bacteria; Pseudomonadati; Pseudomonadota; Alphaproteobacteria; Candidatus Pelagibacterales. The record is from RNAcentral.